AUGUGUGAGAAACUGAUUCCAGCUAUCCAGGACCUGUGGCCCACCAAAGAUGAAGAACGGACCAUCUUUAUCCAGCAAGAUAAUGCUACACCGCAUCUUAAGCCUAGUGACGAGGUUUUCCAACAGGCCAUAGAACAAACUGAUCUGGAUAUCAAGUUGAUCCAACAACCUCUAAACAGCCCCGACCUGAAUAUUCUUGAUCUCUGCAUCUUCAGGUCUCUCCAGUCGCAUACCGAUUGCAGAGCACCUCAAAGCAUCAGGGAAUUGAUAGAAGGCUUGGAGGAAGAAUAUCGAAACUAUGAUGUCGACACGCUAGCUCGAAGCUUCGUGACACUGCAAUCAUGCAUGCGAGAGAUUAUGAGAAAAAAGGAGGGAUAUACUACAAGAUUCCUCGCAUGCAUAAAGAACGUCGGCAACAAGAAGGAAGGCUUUCUAUUGCUCUCUCUUUAG
RNAcentral lists this ribosomal RNA (450 nucleotides) under Triticum aestivum (bread wheat). Its description in RNAcentral is "partial small subunit ribosomal RNA". Lineage: Eukaryota; Viridiplantae; Streptophyta; Magnoliopsida; Poales; Poaceae. The record is from RNAcentral.